AUUGAACGCUGGCGGCAGGCCUAACACAUGCAAGUCGAGCGGAUGAAGGGAGCUUGCUCCUGGAUUCAGCGGCGGACGGGUGAGUAAUGCCUAGGAAUCUGCCUGGUAGUGGGGGAUAACGUCCGGAAACGGGCGCUAAUACCGCAUACGUCCUGAGGGAGAAAGUGGGGGAUCUUCGGACCUCACGCUAUCAGAUGAGCCUAGGUCGGAUUAGCUAGUUGGUGGGGUAAAGGCCUACCAAGGCGACGAUCCGUAACUGGUCUGAGAGGAUGAUCAGUCACACUGGAACUGAGACACGGUCCAGACUCCUACGGGAGGCAGCAGUGGGGAAUAUUGGACAAUGGGCGAAAGCCUGAUCCAGCCAUGCCGCGUGUGUGAAGAAGGUCUUCGGAUUGUAAAGCACGUUAAGUUGGGAGGAAGGGCAGUAAGUUAAUACCUGGCUGUUUUGACGUUACCAACAGAAUAAGCACCGGCUAACUGCGUG
Molecule: ribosomal RNA, 484 nt
Filed under: uncultured bacterium
Lineage: Bacteria
Description: partial 16S ribosomal RNA
Rfam family: Bacterial small subunit ribosomal RNA
Source: RNAcentral